AUGUCCUCUUCGUCCUCCGUGGGCAACAUCGCUCCCAACGACGGAUCGUCGUCGCCGCCUGCGUCGGCCAUCGUCGCGCAGGCCAUGUCCGGGUCGCACGUCGUCAAGAUAGACGGCUACUCCCGCACCAAGGGGCUUGGCAAUGGCAAAUACAUCAAGUCCGAGACUUUCACCAUCGGAUGCCAUCCCUGGUGUAUGCGCUACUACCCAGACGGCUGUGUGACUGAAGACGCAGAUUGGAUAUCCAUCUAUCUGCACUAUAGUACUGCUCCAACUAAUGCUGGUGAAGUCAAAGCAGAGUUCAAGAUUAGUUUGCUUGACCAUGACAGGCAACCAGUGGCAUUGUACAGCAGAUGCAGCCAAGGUUUUGGUUACCAGUCGAAAUUUCAAGAUUUCCCAUGGUUACCGCGUAUUUCCCACGUUGUGGUGCCACCGUCCAACAUGCACCAUCAUCUUGGACAACUACUCUUGGCCGGUGAGGCGGCCGAUGUUACUUUCGAGGUCGGCGAGGAGACAUUCGCUGCGCACAGGUGCAUACUCGCAGCUCGUUCACCGGUUUUCAAGGCGGAGCUCCUUGGCCCUAUGAAGGAGAAGACCGCAACUCGAGUGCUGAUCGACGACAUGGAAGCCAGGGUGUUCAAGGCGUUGCUCCAUUUCAUCUACACCGACUCGUUGCCCGCCAUGGACGAAGGCGGCGCGGCGGAGAUUGCUCAGCAUUUACUGGUGGCGGCUGACAGGUAUGAUAUGGAGAGGCUGAAGCUGAUCUGCGAGGGGAAGCUGUGCGAUCACAUCUGCAAAAGCACGGUGGCGACCACGCUGGCACUGGCUGAGCAGCACGGUUGCGGUGCUCUGAAGAAGGCAUGCUUCAAGUUCCUGAUGUCUCCGGGAAACCUGAAGGUGGUCAUGGAAUCUGAUGGAUAUGAGCACCUGAGGAGCAGUUGCCCGUCUGUUCUGGACGAACUAGUCGCAAAGCUUGCUCCAUGA
Molecule: ribosomal RNA, 984 nt
Filed under: Triticum aestivum (bread wheat)
Lineage: Eukaryota; Viridiplantae; Streptophyta; Magnoliopsida; Poales; Poaceae
Description: partial small subunit ribosomal RNA
Source: RNAcentral